This is a long non-coding RNA of Nicotiana attenuata, 3774 nucleotides long. RefSeq lists it as uncharacterized. The transcript is spliced from 2 exons. The record is from RefSeq and is a predicted model, not a curated record. NCBI's taxonomy places the organism in Eukaryota, Viridiplantae, Streptophyta, Magnoliopsida, Solanales, Solanaceae.
CAUACCAUAUAAUAUCUUUCUUAUAAAUGUCAUUGACAAACCAAUCUCCUCAAACACCAGUUUCAUUCAUCUAACUUCUUCAAUCCAAAAAUGGCGAAUGCUCGUAUUGCAAAGUUUGUUACUGAAGCAGCACCACCACAGUUUGUAAAUGUAAUGAGAAAUCGAGCAUCGAAGAUGUUAGAGACGAUCAAAGAAGAUGAUAGAGAAGCAGCUAGCUCGAACGAGUCAUCAAUUUCUUCGAAUUAUUCGAGUUCAUCUUCAAAAUCUAUGAAUUCUAAGUAUUUUCUUAAAAAAGUUCAAAGGUCUUUUCCUUUAUUUGGAACUAAAGCCUCUUCUUAGUUAGGCUCUCUUUAUUAAUAUUCAGGGUUUAGGGUUCAGAGUUUAGGGUCUUUAUAUUAAUGUUUAUCCGAUGUCCGCAGAACUUGAGUAGAGUGACUAGAGUCCAAGAUUUGCUGAGACUAGAUAAAUGUUGAUGAAAUGUAACUAAAGAGAAAAGUGAAAUCAGUCCAUAUGAGUACUGGUUAAGUUUGUACGGUAGUUUUAUAAUGGAUCGUAUAGUACAAAAAUAACAUAACCUAUAUGAUCCCAUGGGUGAAGUGUGGAAAGGAUAGGGUGUACGCAUACCUUACCCUUAUCUUGUGUGAGAUAGAAAAGUCGUUUCCGAUAAUAUGUUGUAUCGUAUAUAUAUAUUAUCCAUCCAAAAUCAGUCAUAGUGAAGCAAGAUAUUAAAAGUUAUUUUUCAUUAUUAUCAGUCUCUCUUUCAAUAAUAUUUGGUUGAAGUUCAAACAAUGAUAGAGUAUUUGAAGUUGAAGUAGAAACAAACGAGUAUUUAAAUGUUGAGUUGUAUUUGAGUAUAAAUUUUCACUAUGGAGAGUAUUUUUGACCUUAGCUAUGUUAUUAAUAACAUAGCUAGUGUAAUCCUACAGAUGGAGUCUGGGGAGGGCAGAGUGUACGCAGAUCUUGCCCCUACCCAGGGGCGGAUCUAGAGUGUAAUAUAUGGGUUCCCGGGAACCCAGUAACUUUUGCGUAGACCCUGUAUUUUUGUUAAAAAAUUUAUUAAAUAUCUAUUUGUGAACCCAGUUAUUAUUGUAUAUUAAUUUGAAAUUGUGACAGGAACCCAUAUACUUAAAAUCCUGGAUCCGCCUCUACCCCUACCUACCUUGUGUGAGAUAGAGAGGUUGUUUCCGAUAAUAUAUUGUGUCGUAUAUUAUCCAUCCAAAAUCGGUCAUAGUGAAGCAAGAUAUCAAAAGUUAUUUUUCAUUAUUAUUAUUAGGCUCUCUUUGCACAAUAUUUGGUUGAAGUUCAAAAAACGAUAGAGUAUUUGAAGUUGAAGUAAAAAAGACGAGUAUUUAAAUUUGAGUUGUGUUUGAAUAUAAAUUUCCACUACGAAGAGUAUUUUUAACCUUAGUCAAAAGUACAUGAAUAAAUUCAGACUUUUUUCGAAGUAUUUUAACACGUGUCAAGAUUUUGAUCGAGUUCAAAGCUCACAGUUCAGUUAGAGCUUCAUUACGUAAACGAGGUAAAAUUAAAUUUUUUUUGUAUAGUAAAGGGGUGAAUUUGUAAAGGAAAAAAUAAAUUGUCCUCACUUAGUGUAAGUCACAAUUUGAUGCAAACACUAGAUGCGGAAAACCUUUGGGUUGCCUAAACAAACACUUGAAUCUAGGAAUACAUUUUUUGAAAUAUAAAUAAAAAAAACAGUCAUAAAAUAAAAAGAAUUUUUUUGAUCUGAAAAAUCUCAUUAGAGGAAAGAAAAAUUGAUUUCUUUUACUCUUCUUCCCUAUCUGAUUAUCUUCCUCUAGUGGGGUUUUUCUAUUUUCUUUUAUAUCCUUUAUCAACAUUCACAUAUCCUUGAAUCCUGUUAUGUUUUUUUUUUUUUUUAAAAGAAAGAAAGUAAAUCUAUCAUUCCUUGAAAGAAUAUACAUAUGAACGUUUCUUCAAGGGAAUAUUCUCACUUAUUUUCUUUGAACACUUUGGUAAUUUUGUAUUUGAUAUAAAUGUUUAUUAUUUUAGGCAUUUCUUGUUGGAUAGUAGUAAGUUGAUCAAAAUCCAAACAUGGAUUUAUUAUGAUCAUGAUAAAUAUUGAAUCUUUUAGCAUUAACUGCAAUUAGAUCCAUUUUUUGAAGCCUAUAUUCAUAUUACUAGUAUCAAUUAUCAAUCAUUUUUGUUUGGUAUAAUUUCUUAAAUGAUUCUCUUAUUAUAGACACAAGCAAGAUUAUUGUUACAUUUUUUUUAUUGUUGUUACUGCUUGUUGAUACUGCUCAUUUUGGUUUUGUCCUUGAGCCGAGUGUCCUCGGAAACAGUCUCUCUACCUUCACAGGGUAGGGGUAAGAUCUGCAUACAUAUUACCCUCCCCGGAUCCCAUUUGUGGGACGAUACUGAGUAUGUUGUUGUUGUAUGUUUGAUGUUUGAAAUCGGCAUGGCAAUGUCCAAAAUCGACGUUGAAUCGUUACAAGAAACACUUAAUAUUCAAGAACAACUUAUAGAGAAGCUAUACAAUGAGUUGGAUGAAGAAAGUGAAGCCUCAGCUAGUGCUGCUAGUGAAGCGUUAUCGAUGAUUUUACGUCUUCAAGGCGAAAAGGCUGCAGAGGAAAUGGAAGCAGAACAAUAUAAGAGAUUUGUAGAGGAAAAAAUGUGUCAUGCAGACGAGUCAUUAUCCAUUUUUCAAGAUCUUAUUCAUGAAAAAGAGAUGGAAAUAGUUGCUUUAGAUUAUCAAACACAUGCUUAUCGAUAUAAGUUAUUAAGUAUAGGCUGUGAUGAUAUUGAAUUUAAUGAGGAUUUGUUUCAUAAGAAUGAAAGUUUUGAUCAAGAAAUGAGUGUUCAAGCUAUUGGGAGGUGUAAAUCAGCUCCAAAUAUUCCACAGAAAUAUGCUAAUCAGAUAAAGGGAAAUCUUGAUAAAGAUGAAUAUAUAUAUCAGUCAAGAACGCGAUUUGAAUGAUACUUCAAUGGAUGGAAGUAUAGAUUUAUACUGUGAGAAGAUUGAAAAGUUGGAAGAAAGAGUGAAACAGAUUGCUGGUGCUAACUAUGCGAAAUCGUGCAGUAGUGAGAUGAAGUCACAUUUACCACUUUCUAAAAGAAACUCUUGUAACAAUUUCCUCGACGUUUACCAAGUUAAGCAUCGAGGAAAUAAUCAGAAAAUGGAACGUCUGUGCGUUCUGCUUCUCCUCCGAAUGUUCUUGAUGUAUUUGAAGUCCCUCGAGCUAUUAAAGACGACGAUAAGAUGAUAUGGAAGAGCGAUGAAAGACAACAUUUUGUCCCAAAAGAGGCUGUGAAACAACUUGUUAAAGAUCAAACUGAUUGCCUUAAGAAAUAUUUAGUACCUAUGCAGCAUGAGAACAAUUUACAUAAAGUAGGUGAAGCUGCUGCAGUCGACUGUCAUUUGGCGAUUUGCACUACAACUAGUGCUACAGAAACAGAAGAGAUUCGUCGUCUAAAUAGGACGACUGAGAUAGUUGAAGUUGAGGUACAAGGCAAGAAUCCGACAGACACGAAGAACUAAUGUUGUUACAUGAGAUUAAGGAGCAAAUAAAUUUGAUGCAAUCUGAAGUUAGAAGUUGGAAAAAUAAGAAAUCCCCUACAAGAGAUGAGUUAUCUGUAGUUUCUCUAACAGAGGUAAUGGUUUGCUUUUGGCUCUGAUAUCAGCUAUCAAAAAUCUUUCAAAUUCUAGAUGUUAGAAAUUUGUACUUAUUAUGCUUUUUUUGAGUAUUGUAACAGUCCUUUUGGCAUUUUUACAAGAAUGCCCACAAAGGGGUGAUUUGAUUAUAAAAUUGAUCACUA